CAACUUUGAGCGGUGGAUCA
This 20-nucleotide ribosomal RNA is filed under the name Schistosoma mekongi. RNAcentral describes it as "partial 5.8S ribosomal RNA". Lineage: Eukaryota; Metazoa; Platyhelminthes; Trematoda; Strigeidida; Schistosomatidae. The record is from RNAcentral.